GCGAGAUGGCGCCAUCCAAGUUCCGGCCCCGCCGGAUGAAAAGGGAACGCGGAGCGGGCUUGCCCGUCAGCCGCGGCUGCCCCCGCAACUGUCAGCGGCGAGCGACGUCGAUCAUGCCACUGGGGAGCCCCCCGGGAAGGCCGGCCGAGCCCAGACCCGUGAGCCAGGAGACCUGCUUGGAGCUCACCCUUCCC
This 194-nucleotide non-coding RNA is filed under the name Rhodobacter sp. RNAcentral also lists the same sequence under 1 other name. Lineage: Bacteria; Pseudomonadati; Pseudomonadota; Alphaproteobacteria; Rhodobacterales. The record is from RNAcentral.